RNAcentral lists this ribosomal RNA (460 nucleotides) under uncultured bacterium. RNAcentral describes it as "partial 16S ribosomal RNA". It matches the Rfam family "Bacterial small subunit ribosomal RNA", at positions 338 to 795 of the family's 1533-position model. The record is from RNAcentral.
CCUACGGGAGGCAGCAGUGAGGAAUAUUGGUCCAUGGACGCAAGUCUGAACCAGCCAUGCCGCGUGCAGGAAGACGGCUCUAUGAGUUGUAAACUGCUUUUGUACGAGGGUAAACGCAGAUACGCGUAUCUGUCUGAAAGUAUCGUACGAAUAAGGAUCGGCUAACUCCGUGCCAGCAGCCGCGGUAAUACGGAGGAUUCAAGCGUUAUCCGGAUUUAUUGGGUUUAAAGGGUGCGUAGGCGGUCGGAUAAGUUAGAGGUUAAAUCCCGAGGCUCAACUUCGGAAUUGCCUCUGAUACUGUUCGGCUAGAGAGUAGUUGCGGUAGGCGGAAUGUAUGGUGUAGCGGUGAAAUGCUUAGAGAUCAUACAGAACACCGAUUGCGAAGGCAGCUUACCAAGCUACUUCUGACGUUGAGGCACGAAAGCGUGGGGAGCAAACAGGAGUAGAUACCCUAGUAGUC